GACGGCGCCACCAUACUCGGUGGUCAGAGAGUUCAAAACUUCCCCCGUUGAACCCCCUUUUCACGUAGACAAGAUUUAGGACAUGAAAAACCAAAAACUAAACCCCAAACUUCUUAAAACCACAAAGAUUCUUCAACCUUUGGCUUCCUCCGUCGAAGUUUUAACCGGAUCUCUAGAGAUCCGCCGGCUUUCGGACUAGAGAAGCGUAUGCCCAGGGUACCAACGCCAAAUACGGGUCAUGGGAGUGUCAGAGGCGUGGAAGGCCGGUGAUUGGCGCCCCGAGCAGUGGUGGCGCGCGUGAGAAGGUUGGUGGCUGGAGGAAAUUGGGCCUGCUGUUUUUUCUUUUCUUCUUUUUUUGUAAAAUGGACUUUGUUUUGGGAAUUUUAUAUUUUGGAAUUAAUUUGAGUUUUUAUUUCUUGUUGGCCAGGCCAAAA
Gossypium arboreum is the source of this 434-nucleotide long non-coding RNA. RefSeq lists it as uncharacterized. The record is from RefSeq and is a predicted model, not a curated record. Lineage: Eukaryota; Viridiplantae; Streptophyta; Magnoliopsida; Malvales; Malvaceae. The transcript has 2 exons.